Molecule: non-coding RNA, 395 nt
Organism: Flavobacteriaceae bacterium TMED204
Lineage: Bacteria; Pseudomonadati; Bacteroidota; Flavobacteriia; Flavobacteriales; Flavobacteriaceae
Source: Rfam
GGGGCCGACUGGAUUUGACAGCGAUCUAGUAGUGUUAGUAAGCAAACCGAGCGAUUAGUUAUAGCUCGUUAAUAUCAGCUAAAAACUUUAAAUGGCGAAAAUAAAUACGCUCUUGCUGCUUAAUGACUGAAUUAUAGUAAGUCUAAGCCUAGUCCUGCCAGGCAGGAAAGCGAGAUGUCUCAAAGUUGUUUUUGUUAGCAAUGACUUUUAAUGAGGCACCAUUCUGUUAACAUAGAAUAAUCAUUGCUUCAAUGAUUNUUUGAAACUUUAGAAGCUAAGUGUUGAUUGUGUAGUUUUCAGCAAGAUCAUCAUCGAAAAUUAAAUGAAAACUAAGUUUGUAGAAAGCUGAUGUUUCAGUCGUUUGGACGAGGGUUCGAAUCCCUCCGGCUCCACCA